This 253-nucleotide ribosomal RNA is filed under the name uncultured bacterium. RNAcentral's name for it is "partial 16S ribosomal RNA". It matches the Rfam family "Bacterial small subunit ribosomal RNA", at positions 524 to 776 of the family's 1533-position model. The record is from RNAcentral.
UACGGGGGGGGCAAUCGUUGUUCGGAAUUACUGGGCGUAAAGGGCUCGUAGGCGGCCAACUAAGUCAUACGUGAAAUCCCUCGGCUUAACCGGGGAACUGCGUCUGAUACUGGAUGGCUUGAGUUUGGGAGAGGGAUGCGGAAUUCCAGGUGUAGCGGUGAAAUGCGUAGAUAUCAGGAGGAACACCGGUGGCGAAGGCGGCUUGCUGGGCCAGUUCUGACGCUGAGGAGCGAAAGCGUGGGGAGCGAACAGG